Molecule: ribosomal RNA, 253 nt
Filed under: uncultured bacterium
Lineage: Bacteria
Description: partial 16S ribosomal RNA
Rfam family: Bacterial small subunit ribosomal RNA
Source: RNAcentral
UACGGGGGGGGCAAGCGUUGUUCGGAAUUACUGGGCGUAAAGGGCUCGUAGGUGGUCAACUAAGUUGGACGUGAAAUCCCUCGGCUUAACCGGGGAACUGCGUCCGAUACUGGAUGACUUGAGUUCGGGAGAGGGAUGCGGAAUUCCAGGUGUAGCGGUGAAAUGCGUAGAUAUCUGGAGGAACACCGGUGGCGAAGGCGGCAUCCUGGACCGACACUGACGCUGAGGAGCGAAAGCCAGGGGAGCAAACGGG